This 767-nucleotide ribosomal RNA is filed under the name uncultured bacterium. RNAcentral's name for it is "bacterial SSU rRNA". It matches the Rfam family "Bacterial small subunit ribosomal RNA", at positions 63 to 822 of the family's 1533-position model. The record is from RNAcentral.
CGAGGGGCAGCACGAUGUAGCAAUACAUUGGUGGCGACCGGCGCACGGGUGAGUAACGCGUAUGCAACCUACCUAUCAGAGGGGAAUAACCCGGCGAAAGUCGGACUAAUACCGCAUAAAACAGGGGUUCCACAUGGAAAUAUUUGUUAAAGAAUUAUCGCUGAUAGAUGGGCAUGCGUUCCAUUAGAUAGUUGGUGAGGUAACGGCUCACCAAGUCCACGAUGGAUAGGGGUUCUGAGAGGAAGGUCCCCCACACUGGUACUGAGACACGGACCAGACUCCUACGGGAGGCAGCAGUGAGGAAUAUUGGUCAAUGGGCGAGAGCCUGAACCAGCCAAGUCGCGUGAAGGAUGAAGGAUCUAUGGUUUGUAAACUUCUUUUAUAUGGGAAUAAAGUGAGGAACGUGUUCCUUUUUGUAUGUACCAUAUGAAUAAGCAUCGGCUAACUCCGUGCCAGCAGCCGCGGUAAUACGGAGGAUGCGAGCGUUAUCCGGAUUUAUUGGGUUUAAAGGGUGCGUAGGUGGUUAAUUAAGUCAGCGGUGAAAGUUUGUGGCUCAACCAUAAAAUUGCCGUUGAAACUGGUUGACUUGAGUAUAUUUGAGGUAGGCGGAAUGCGUGGUGUAGCGGUGAAAUGCAUAGAUAUCACGCAGAACUCUGAUUGCGAAGGCAGCUUACUAAACUAUAACUGACACUGAAGCACGAAAGCGUGGGGAUCAAACAGGAUUAGAUACCCUGGUAGUCCACGCAGUAAACGAUGAUUACUAGCUG